RNAcentral lists this unclassified non-coding RNA (142 nucleotides) under uncultured fungus. RNAcentral's name for it is "sequence contains ITS1". The record is from RNAcentral. Lineage: Eukaryota; Fungi.
UUAAUUUUUAAGUUAAUUCAGACACAGACAUAUGGCAUAAAUACGACGCCAAGGCGCCGAAGCACGGCUAUAUUCCACGGGUUUUGAAGUUGAAGGCCGAAGCCAUUCGUUAAUGAUCCCUCCGCAGGUUCACCUACGGAGA